Molecule: ribosomal RNA, 905 nt
Filed under: uncultured bacterium
Lineage: Bacteria
Description: bacterial SSU rRNA
Rfam family: Bacterial small subunit ribosomal RNA
Source: RNAcentral
ACGCUGGCGGCGUGCCUAAUACAUGCAAGUAGAACGCACAGUUUAUACCGUAGCUUGCUACACCAUAGACUGUGAAUUGCGAACGGGUGAGUAACGCGUAGGUAACCUGCCUGGUAGCGGGGGAUAACUAUUGGAAACGAUAGCUAAUACCGCAUAAUAUUAAUUAUUGCAUGAUAAUUGAUUGAAAGAUGCAACUGCAUCACUACCAGAUGGACCUGCGUUGUAUUAGCUAGUAGGUGAGGUAACGGCUCACCUAGGCGACGAUACAUAGCCGACCUGAGAGGGUGAUCGGCCACACUAGGACUGAGACACGGCCCAGACUCCUACGGGAGGCAGCAGUAGGGAAUCUUCGGCAAUGGACGAAAGUCUGACCGAGCAACGCCGCGUGAGUGAAGAAGGUUUUCGGAUCGUAAAGCUCUGUUGUAAGAGAAGAACGGGUGUGAGAGUGGAAAGUUCACACUGUGACGGUAUCUUACCAGAAAGGGACGGCUAACUACGUGCCAGCAGCCGCGGUAAUACGUAGGUCCCGAGCGUUGUCCGGAUUUAUUGGGCGUAAAGCGAGCGCAGGCGGUUAGAUAAGUCUGAAGUUAAAGGCUGUGGCUUAACCAUAGUACGCUUUGGAAACUGUUUAACUUGAGUGCAAGAGGGGAGAGUGGAAUUCCAUGUGUAGCGGUGAAAUGCGUAGAUAUAUGGAGGAACACCGGUGGCGAAAGCGGCUCUCUGGCCUGUAACUGACGCUGAGGCUCGAAAGCGUGGGGAGCGAACAGGAUUAGAUACCCUGGUAGUCCACGCCGUAAACGAUGAGUGCUAGGUGUUAGACCCUUUCCGGGGUUUAGUGCCGCAGCUAACGCAUUAAGCACUCCGCCUGGGGAGUACGACCGCAAGGUUGAAACUCAAAGGAAUUG